RNAcentral lists this ribosomal RNA (292 nucleotides) under uncultured bacterium. RNAcentral's name for it is "partial 16S ribosomal RNA". It matches the Rfam family "Bacterial small subunit ribosomal RNA", at positions 505 to 796 of the family's 1533-position model. The record is from RNAcentral.
GUGUCAGCAGCCGCGGUAAUACGUAGGGUGCGAGCGUUGUCCGGAAUUACUGGGCGUAAAGAGCUCGUAGGUGGUUUGUCGCGUUGUUCGUGAAAACCGGAGGCUCAACCUCUGGCGUGCGGGCGAUACGGGCAGACUUGAGUACUGCAGGGGAGACUGGAAUUCCUGGUGUAGCGGUGGAAUGCGCAGAUAUCAGGAGGAACACCGGUGGCGAAGGCGGGUCUCUGGGCAGUAACUGACGCUGAGGAGCGAAAGCGUGGGGAGCGAACAGGAUUAGAAACCCCUGUAGUCC